RNAcentral lists this ribosomal RNA (262 nucleotides) under uncultured Streptococcus sp. RNAcentral describes it as "partial 16S ribosomal RNA". It matches the Rfam family "Bacterial small subunit ribosomal RNA", at positions 1118 to 1382 of the family's 1533-position model. Lineage: Bacteria; Bacillati; Bacillota; Bacilli; Lactobacillales; Streptococcaceae. The record is from RNAcentral.
CCAUCAUUCAUUGGGCACUCUAGCGAGACUGCCGGUAAUAAACCGGAGGAAGGUGGGGAUGACGUCAAAUCAUCAUGCCCCUUAUGACCUGGGCUACACACGUGCUACAAUGGUUGGUACAACGAGUUGCGAGUCGGUGACGGCGAGCUAAUCUCUUAAAGCCAAUCUCAGUUCGGAUUGUAGGCUGCAACUCGCCUACAUGAAGUCGGAAUCGCUAGUAAUCGCGGAUCAGCACGCCGCGGUGAACACGUUCCCGGGCCUU